GAAGUUUCACAGGAUAUACUAUUCCUAUCGAGAGUGACGCAGCCUCCUCGGUUCUAAGAGGGGAGAGAAUCUUCACUAUUGAUCGACGAUGAUGCAACCUCUUCAUUCCCAAGUGCUUUCUUGAACGCUGUUGGUUCCCCUUUCUCUUCGUCCUCAUCGUCGUUGCUGUUAGCCUAUUAACUGUCGUAAUCUCGAAUAAUUUCUUGAUCUCGGUGUCUCUACAUUUUGCUAUCUCCCUUUCUUAUUUCUUUAAUUUGUUUUAUU
Molecule: unclassified non-coding RNA, 264 nt
Filed under: Hevea brasiliensis (rubber tree)
Lineage: Eukaryota; Viridiplantae; Streptophyta; Magnoliopsida; Malpighiales; Euphorbiaceae
Source: RNAcentral